UACGUAGGGGGCAAGCGUUGUCCGGAAUCAUUGGGCGUAAAGAGCGCGUAGGCGGCCCAGUAAGUCCGCUCUGAAAGUCAGGGGCUCAACCCCUGAAUGCGGGUGGAUACUGCUGGGCUAGAGUCCGGAAGAGGCGAGUGGAAUUCCUGGUGUAGCGGUGAAAUGCGCAGAUAUCAGGAGGAACACCAAUGGCGAAGGCAGCACUCUGGGACGUGACUGACGCUGAGACGCGAAAGCGUGGGGAGCAAACAGG
This 253-nucleotide ribosomal RNA is filed under the name uncultured bacterium. RNAcentral describes it as "partial 16S ribosomal RNA". It matches the Rfam family "Bacterial small subunit ribosomal RNA", at positions 524 to 776 of the family's 1533-position model. The record is from RNAcentral.